GCGAGAGUACCCGAGCGGUCUAAGGGGCAAGGUUGAGGGCCUUGUGGCUUAGUGCCUUCGUCGGUUCGAAUCCGGCCUCUCGCA
RNAcentral lists this transfer RNA (84 nucleotides) under Nanobdellota archaeon. Its description in RNAcentral is "tRNA-Leu". It matches the Rfam family "tRNA". From Rfam's summary of the family: Transfer RNA (tRNA) molecules are approximately 80 nucleotides in length. Their secondary structure includes four short double-helical elements and three loops (D, anti-codon, and T loops). Lineage: Archaea; Nanobdellati; Nanobdellota. The record is from RNAcentral.